Molecule: non-coding RNA, 21 nt
Filed under: Caenorhabditis elegans
Lineage: Eukaryota; Metazoa; Nematoda; Chromadorea; Rhabditida; Rhabditidae
Source: RNAcentral
CGAGACGGGUUUUCAAUACAA